Molecule: ribosomal RNA, 301 nt
Filed under: uncultured bacterium
Lineage: Bacteria
Description: partial 16S ribosomal RNA
Rfam family: Bacterial small subunit ribosomal RNA
Source: RNAcentral
CAGCAGCCGCGGUAAUACGGAGGGUGCAAGCGUUAAUCGGAAUUACUGGGCGUAAAGCGCACGCAGGCGGUCUGACAAGUCAGAUGUGAAAUCCCCGGGCUUAACCUGGGAACUGCAUUUGAAACUGUCAGGCUGGAGUCUUGUAGAGGGGGGUGGAAUUCCAGGUGUAGCGGUGAAAUGCGUAGAGAUCUGGAGGAAUACCGGUGGCGAAGGCGGCCCCCUGGACAAAGACUGACGCUCAGGUGCGAAAGCGUGGGGAGCAAACAGGAUUAGAUACCCCGAGUAGUCCCUGUCUCUUAUA